This 253-nucleotide ribosomal RNA is filed under the name uncultured bacterium. RNAcentral describes it as "partial 16S ribosomal RNA". It matches the Rfam family "Bacterial small subunit ribosomal RNA", at positions 524 to 776 of the family's 1533-position model. The record is from RNAcentral.
AACGUAGGUUCCGAGCGUUAUCCGGAUUUACUGGGCGUAAAGCGCGUUCAGGCGGUUUGGCACGUCGGGCAUGAAAUCUCUCGGCUCAACCGGGAGAGGUUGUCCGAUACUGCUGGACUUGAGGGCAGUAGAGGGUGGUGGAAUUCCGGGUGUAGUGGUGAAAUGCGUAGAUAUCGGGAGGAACACCAGUGGCGAAGGCGACUACCUGGCCCAUUCUUGACGCUGAGGCGCGAAAGCUAGGGGAGCGAACGGG